AAUGGGAGCGGCGGACGGGUGAGUAACACGUGGGAAUUUUCCUCAAGGUACGGAACAACUCAGGGAAACUUGGGCUAAUACCGUAUGAUGCAGAGAUGCCAAAGAUUUAUCGCCUUGGGAUAAGCCCGCGUCAGAUUAGGUAGUUGGUGAGGUAACGGCUCACCAAGCCUGUGAUCUGUAGCUGGUCUGAGAGGACGAUCAGCCACAUUGGGACUGAGACACGGCCCAAACUCCUACGGGAGGCAGCAGUGGGGAAUCUUGCGCAAUGGGCGAAAGCCUGACGCAGCCAUGCCGCGUGAAUGAUGAAGGUCUUAGGAUUGUAAAGUUCUUUCGCCUGUGACGAUGAUGACGGUAACAGGAGAAGAAGCCCCGGCUAACUUCGUGCCAGCAGCCGCGGUAAUACGAAGGGGGCUAGCGUUGUUCGGAAUUACUGGGCGUAAAGCGCGCGUAGGCGGCUUUGCAAGCCAGAGGUGAAAUGCCUGAGCUCAACUUAGGAAUUGCCUUUGGGACUGCAGGGCUUCGAGGACUGGAGAGGUGAGUGGAAUUCCCAGUGUAGAGGUGAAAUUCGUAGAUAUUGGGAAGAACACCAGUGGCGAAGGCGGCUCACUGGCCAGUUUCUGACGCUAAAGUGCGAAAGCGUGGGGAUCAAACAGGAUUAGAUACCCUGGUAGUCCACGCUGUAAACGAUGAGUGCUAGGCGUCGGCACGCUUGCGUGUCGGUGCCGCAGCUAACGCGUGAAGCACUCCGCCUGGGGAGUACGGUCGCAAGAUUAAAACUCAAA
Molecule: ribosomal RNA, 782 nt
Filed under: uncultured Alphaproteobacteria bacterium
Lineage: Bacteria; Pseudomonadati; Pseudomonadota; Alphaproteobacteria
Description: bacterial SSU rRNA
Rfam family: Bacterial small subunit ribosomal RNA
Source: RNAcentral